This 1574-nucleotide unclassified non-coding RNA is filed under the name Bactrocera latifrons. RNAcentral's name for it is "uncharacterized LOC108965817, transcript variant X2". The record is from RNAcentral. Lineage: Eukaryota; Metazoa; Arthropoda; Insecta; Diptera; Tephritidae.
ACAAUUGCAUAGAAAGAAAAACAAAACUAAAAUGCAUUUUUAUAAUGGUGAAUGCAAUAAUUUGCACGAAAUCUUAAAGUAAAAAAAUUAAAAACUUUGAUAAUUGUAAACUUACAAAUUCAAAUUGAAGUUAGCGGCUUAUAAUUCUGACUAGAAAUGGGAAUUGUGCAUAUGUACAUAUGAACAAAACAAGAUUGCAUUAUAUCCAAAUGUGCAUUCCUAUGCUUUUAAGCAAUUUAGAGAUUCUAGUUUUUCAUCUUUGACUUUUCUAGUCGAAGAAAACUGUCGCGCAGAGCUCAAAAAGCUAGGUUGUUUGGAAAAGGUAAGCUGGGCUGAAAAGAGAGCGGUAAUAGCAUUUGUAUUUGUGCAAUCGAGUGAGCGAGUGCUGCAAUAAGAAAAGAUCGGCUUUAAGUAUCUUACGUAUACAAAAGUGAAAGAAUUAAAGUUUAGUUAAUAUCAAUUCAGAUGUCGAGGUAGCUGGACUAAAUGCGGUGACUCAGUCGACAAAAACACUUAAAAUUCCAGUGAACUGCAUAUUAAUUCACAAACUUUUGGUAGUAUAUUGAUUGAAAACUAUCACAAAUAUUAUAAUAUUAGGCCAUAGUAAUGGCUAUGAACAAUUUAUCAAUUGAUGGCGAGUUUCGUUACAUCAUACAGUGGUUUAACGAGUGGAGUGAGUUGCAGCGCGAUGACUUUGUACCGGUGUUGUUAGAGUAUCUACAGCAGGGAAUUCCUAACGAGGUUUAUAUGAACGGCAUUGUAAACUCUGUGUCCCAAAGCAGCAUUCAGGAUAAGCCAAUGAGUUUAUUCCAAUGUAGGAUAAAACUCUUCCGUGAGUGGAACAAAAAAUGGCCUGCAGAAUUAAAACUGAAGUUGCAGGAAAAAGUUACCGAAAUAGAUUCAAAAGUGGGUGAAAAGCUUACAAACGAAAUCACGCCUAAUGGCAAUGAACAUGUGAAUGGUUGUAACGGUGAUGCAGUCGCGACAGAAACAUGCGAUGAAGUUAAUGAAGUAAAUGGAGAGAAUAAAACAACUGUUGAAAUAGUUGACGAAUCUAAUGAGGUUGCAGAGGUGUCAAAUAAUUUGGAGAGCCAUAUUGUAGAAGCACUAAAUAAUGAAACUCCAGUCGAUGACAAUAAUAUGAAUGAAAACGGCGGCGAUAACCAGAUUGAAGACACAAAUCCCAUAUCAACCGUGGUCACAGAUACUGCUAUCGAAAAUUCUAUUAAUAAUGCACAGUUACAUUUGGAACCAGAUGAACAAGUUCAAAUACAAGCACAAAAUGCAUUCGAAGAAAAUAUAGCUGUAGUCGAUAGCAUUGCAACCACCACUGCCACUGUCGCAUAAAAGCAUCGACUGAUCCAUAAAAAGAAAAGAAACAUCAAAUAGCAGUUAUUUACCGGCUCUAGCAUGGCUACUAAUAGUAAGCAAGAACAAAUAUGGAAUUAAUUAUCUACAUUCACAUCUCAUAUAAACGGAACACGAUCAACGUAUUUAAGUGAAUAAAUGAAUUAGAUUUACAAAAUAUGAAAUGAGAUGUGCUAAAACAAAACUUUUGCAACACUUGCAUUAAA